GAUGAACGCUGGCGGCGUGCCUAAUACAUGCAAGUCGAGCGAACAGAUGAGGAGCUUGCUCCUCUGAUGUUAGCGGCGGACGGGUGAGUAACACGUGGAUAACCUACAUAUAAGACUGGGAUAACUUCGGGAAACCGGAGCUAAUACCGGAUAAUAUAUUGAACCGCAUGGUUGAAUAGUGAAAGACGGUUUUGCUGUCACUUAUAGAUGGAUCCGCGCCGCAUUAGCUAGUUGGUAAGGUAACGGAUUACCAAGGCAACGAUGCGUAGCCGACCUGAGGGGGUGAUUGGCCACACUGGAACUGAGACACGGUCCAGACUCCUACGGGAGGCAGCAGUAGGGAAUCUUCCGCAAUGGGCGAAAGCCUGACGGAGCAACGCCGCGUGAGUGAUGAAGGUCUUCGGUUCGUAAAACUCUGUUAUUAGGGAAGAACAAAUGUGUAAGUAACUAUGCACGUCUUGACGGUACCUAAUCAGAAAGCCACGGCUAACUACGUG
This 497-nucleotide ribosomal RNA is filed under the name uncultured bacterium. Its description in RNAcentral is "partial 16S ribosomal RNA". It matches the Rfam family "Bacterial small subunit ribosomal RNA", at positions 28 to 507 of the family's 1533-position model. The record is from RNAcentral.